UACAGGGGUCUCAAGCGUUGUUCGGAUUCAUUGGGCGUAAAGGGUGCGUAGGUGGCGAUGUAAGUCGGGUGUGAAAUUUCGGAGCUUAACUCCGAAACUGCAUUCGAUACUGCGGUGCUUGAGGACUGGAGAGGAGACUGGAAUUCAUGGUGUAGCAGUGAAAUGCGUAGAGAUCAUGAGGAAGACCAGUGGCGAAGGCGGGUCUCUGGACAGUUCCUGACACUGAGGCACGAAGGCCAGGGGAGCAAACGGG
This 253-nucleotide ribosomal RNA is filed under the name uncultured bacterium. RNAcentral describes it as "partial 16S ribosomal RNA". It matches the Rfam family "Bacterial small subunit ribosomal RNA", at positions 524 to 776 of the family's 1533-position model. The record is from RNAcentral.